GGUCAUAUAGUGUAGCGGUUAUCACUCCGGAUUUUGACUUGAUCAAACAACAACUUCCGGUAACCCCAGUUCGAAUCUGGGUAUGACCU
Molecule: non-coding RNA, 89 nt
Organism: Aaosphaeria arxii CBS 175.79
Lineage: Eukaryota; Fungi; Ascomycota; Dothideomycetes; Pleosporales
Source: the annotation of a RefSeq genome assembly